Molecule: long non-coding RNA, 6021 nt
Organism: Pseudopipra pipra
Lineage: Eukaryota; Metazoa; Chordata; Aves; Passeriformes; Pipridae
Exons: 5
Source: RefSeq, a predicted model, not a curated record
CUCGGGACAGCGCCGCGCCGUGGCCGCUCCCGGCACUGCCGCCGCCGCUCCCGCAGCUUUGUGUGCCUCCCCGCACUCGUCCCUGGCCAACUUCAAAGCACUCACCCACCUCAAACUUAGCGGAGAACCUACAAGCACCACUAAAGUCCCUUCGCCUUUCUCCAUCCCGCCUCUUUUGGGGUUACCCGCCAGGAGGAACCCACGCGAGCGCUUCGGAGCAAUGACAGCAAGCGCUCCGCUCUCGAAGAUUUAUUUCGGAUUUUAUUUUUCCUUUCUUUCUCUCUUUCUCCCUCUCGUGUUAGUUCCUUACGUACAAUAUCUUCCCGCACCAUGUGUUCGCCUGCCGUGGGUGAUCUUAAAAUACAACGCUGAUCUGUCACUACAUUUUAAAAUAAACUCUACUCGGGAAGGAUGAAGAAAGUGUUGUGAUUUCAAGGUACUGGGGUCCCUUAACGUCUCGGAAGCCUCGGGAUUCAAACAGCCCCGGAAACACGCACGGGGACGAGACUAUAACUACUUUUCCCUAAAGGGGAAAAAAAAAAAAGUAAAAAAACCCCACAACACCCUCGUGAUAUAAAAGUAAAUAAUCGUGCAGGGGGAGGCGGGGGGAAGGGGUGAAUUCAGCAAUGUUAAAAGCUAAACAACAGAUCUAUCUCCGGACGCUGCUGCUUCACUCAAUUGCAACUAAUAACCCAUUAAAGACAGCGCAGGGGGAACCGGAUUCUCUCCUGCAAAGCGACAUAAAUCCAGCGAAAACCCAUUAAACCACCGCCACCGCCACCAAGCCACGCAGCACUACACACCACAGCAAACAACAGUGAAGGCGAUGGUUACUGCUGUCAAUCUUGGCAAUCAAUGUGAGCGGCCAUGUCGUAAGUAUUCAAAGCAUUUCCCGUCGUGCAACAUCAGAAAGUGAGUGGCCAGGGCAUUGAUCUGAGGAAGGCAAAAGGAGGCAGGGCUCCCCCGCCCAGACAGCACAGGCAAGAUGAGACAACACAGGGAGAGAGAGGAGGGAGAGGGGAAGGGAGAGAGAGAGAGGCUGGGAGCGAGCAGGGAGAGCAACAACUGCGGAGAAAGUGAGCACAAAACAGAAAGUGAAAUCGGCGCGGGCUGCCAGCCGCAUCCCCGCGCAGCUAUCACCACUCACAGGGCCAUUAGACACAUGAAACCCUACACCGCUCUGCUCUCGCUAAUGACCACUGAUUGCCCGGAGUGGUGAGGAAAGGCUAAACUGUUGUUAAGAUGGGAGUGCGGAAAGCAACCUCAAGCCCACAAAAUGAGAGAGAGAGAAGUUGUUGAUUCAUCUCUGUAUUUUUGGCACUUUCUCCCCGUUUUCCAGAAGGCGCCUGGAACAGUUAGUAACAGACAAACUUUUUAAUUUUAAAAUAGCUUCAUAACUUAUAGAGGCCAAAAAGACUAAGAGAAAUCCUGAUUUCGCUUUCCUCCUCUCUCGAGUAGAAAUUUGUGGACUGUGUUAGACCCAGAAGCACACUCAGCCCCACUGUGAAUGAACCUUGCUUCAUAAGGACGUGAUUAAAAUUGAGCAUUAACGGGAUGGCACAGGACAGAGCUGACCUGCCUCUAUUUCAUUUUGUUAACAAGGUGUAAAACUCGACACACUACUGGAGUCAUGCACGUUGCAUCCUCUACCUUUGCUAUCCGAGGUGCUAUCGUCCCUCUCGAGUAGAGUCCAGGGAAAAUGAGUUGUAAGUCAGAACCUCUUGGAAUAAUGGACCUAUUUUAUACAGUAUUUUUGGGAAUUACACUAUAAUAAAAGGAAUAACCGAGUGCUAUUCAGCAAGUAGCAAACACCUUGAAAUAGAACUUUACAAUUAUCUAGUAAAGCUUUAUCAUCAAAUUAACUGGAUGAGGACAUAGUAACUCAUUUCCUUUCAUUCUUUCAAUUUUAAUAAAAGAAACUAAAAAAAUGACAUUCAGAGACGGGGAAAAUUGUAUGACUGUAAAUACUGAGUUUGUAUUCACCUGCGUUUGGGUAAUUCAAAAUAUGCACCUUGCUACAGUUAUGUGGUGUAUGGAUUUAACAGCAGUAAAUAGCUGUCUUUCCAGAUAUUGCUAUGUCCUUUUUAAUCUUUAAUUAUAAGAAUUUCCGUAAUUGGUCACUAACGCUUUGCUUGUAACACAUUUAAACCUGCUUCAAGUAAAAGAAACACCUUGACUUCUUGCAUAACUAGUAGCUUUGGAGCGAAAAAAAAAAAAAAAAAAAGGUCUGUAAGAAAAGAGAUGUAAAUCAGAACACAAGGAAGAACUAUCCUGCCUCAGUUUGCAACUCCAGCAAUUUGUCAGUGGAAGUUUUUUUCUUUCAAGAAACAGACAGAAAGGGGGGAAAAAAUCGACGACUACUCAAAUGCCUCUAAUGUAGCGUUCUCCUUAUUAAACACGAAGCGGGAAUGGGACAAGAGAUGAUUAAGGCAUCAUAUAAAUCCAACCGCCCACCUAGCUCCAAAUCGGGGCAGCAUCCCACUGCACUCCCGAAAAUCCAGUGCAAGGAAUGACACUGGGCUGGGGCAGGACACCGCAGGGAUGCGGCCACGCUCCCAGGCGGAGCGCAAGCAACGCUCUCCAGCUUGUUGCUUCCCCUGUGUGAUCAAUUAAGUUACAGAUGUAACUCACAGUGCCGGAGAGCGACAACUUCUCGGCACCAGGAAAAGAGGAUUCCUUGGGCAUUGUAUGCAAAUGUGCGUGUGUGUGUGUGAGCGCUGCACGGGGAUAAUUGCGGUUCCCUCUUUGUUUGCAUAAGUGAACACCCGCCGUGUAGAUCCGUAUACACGUGCCGAGAAACAAGAAAACGCUUUUACUUUUAGUGUUACCCCACGUUUAGAAACCGCGUUUGAAAUUACUUCCCUUGCUUUGGCUUCAUUAAGGCUAAAUCCAGGCAGCGCAGGCAGAUGUUGAGGAAGGAUGCUGACCUGCUGGAGGUCCCUGCAGAGGGAAGGGACCGGAGGCGCUCAGAUCACGUCGGGACACUUACCUGUUCACAGCUGUCAUUGCAUUUUGCGCCGUCUGUCUCAUUAAACACGUUAAAGUAAAGCAAUAUUCAACAAGCAAAGCAACCUGUCUGUGUGCUAAGUUGUACGUACCGCAUCUUUAACAUGAGGAGCAAACCUGCAACUCUUGUAGAGUUGGCGGGAGGGUCUCAGAAGUUUUUGAUUCAAAGGGCAAGAAAUGCCACUUUAAAAGUCAUUCACCCACUUCUAAACACCCCUCCCUCCCCAGUUAAUGCCGGACAAUUAAGAGGCAUCUUUAUAAAUUCCCUCUGCGGACACUCUCCGACAAUGAAGGCUUUUUAUAGGCUUGCUAAAGAUGUUCAGAGAAACUUUUGCAAAAUAAUCAAGAGCAUCUGAGAGAAAGCUAAAGGAAAGGAAGUUAAAGCCUGAUCAUCCGAUUGGGAGAAAGUUUUGUUAGACUAGAUAGAAGCAUAUUACUGCACGUUCCUUCAAAUCAAAGCCAUCAGCUGAUACGAGUUCCCCUAGAACAAGAAUCUCUGGCGAUCUCCUCAAAAUUUAGGGGAUGUUUGUAUUUUGUAACUCAAAGCUAAAGAUCUGACUGAAAACAAAAACUCUGAAUUCCUUACAGCGUCAUCUGCCAACAAAAUGUAUUGUCUUGGCAGAAAGAGGAUCAAGGAGAUUUUAAUUUAAUUUUAAAAUGUGCAUCAUCUUGACAGUGAAGGAAAAAGCCGCAGCAACAAUCUCCCCACUCCACCCCCCCCGUUCAAAAAAAAAAAAAAAAAGGGAGGGGGGGAGAGAGAACUGGAAAAACCACAUAAACUUUUACAAAGAAAAUAAAAGCAAGUUCGACAUGAAAACCCCUUCCUGUCUCGGAAAGUUCAUUUUAAAGGUCCCCUCUGUAAAUCUAAAGUGCAAACACCAGGCUAAGGUAGUGAGUGGCUGGAAUUUGCAUGCUGAUAAGAGAAGGCUGUUGUACUUACAGUGACAGAGGGCAGGCUGCGGAAGAAAAGCUGUUUGUGUUAGCCUGAGAGUCACCCAGGGCUGCAAUGAGAGGAGAAGAGAGGAGUGGGAGUGCCAAGCUGGAUACACCUUCACCGCAUCUCAUCACAUCUGCCAGCCUCUCUCUCCCUCUCUCUUUCAUUUCCACAUUCCCUUUGUUCCUGAAAAAAAAAAUCUACACGUCACAUCAGUCCCCAGAUGCAGUCUACACCAAAGAAAAAAAAUGAAUAAUUCAAUCAAACUGUGCAUAGUCUCUAAGGCAAUAAAUCUAUUGCACUUAAAGAAACGAAGGGUAAUUACCGCUAUAGAAUUAGAAUAAGGCCAGAGCGCGCAGGGAUCCCAGGGUCUGUAAACUCCACGGUCAAAUAAAGUUUCAUUUAUUUAAUCCUUUGACAUCCCCAAUGUAAACUAAAGGGGAGGAUCAGAACUUAUUCCGGUUGGGUUUGAGAACGCCUGAAGUGAAUGUUAUAAAAGGAGAGCGCCCGUGAUCUGUGACAAACACAAUGCAAGGGAGUAGAAGUGUUUCACUGCAUCACCUCCAGGGUCCGUUCCCCCCUCCCUAAUGAAGAGCAGACCACACUCCCACUUCCACCGGCUUCUGCUGCUCGCUGCAAGUGCAGCGGGGAUCACUGGCAGCCAGCAGCCGCCUUACCUGCUCCCGAGCGCCAGCACAGCCUGAGAAAAACUCAGGGGAAACGGCAAUUUUGUUCCACGCUCUGGCGGAGAGGAGCCAUGGGGGAUUUGCACCGGCACGGAUUUGACUCGGAACGCUGCCCCUGACUCGUGGAUGUGUGCGGGGCUGAGGCUGGGGACUGCCCGCCGGGGGCGGGGGGAGCCCGCCGGGAGCGGAGCCCGGCGGGGCGGGCGGCGCUGCCGGAGCGCCGUGACAGACCGGCCGGGGCGGGAUGGAGGGAGCCGCGCGUCUCCCGCUCCUGCCGCUAAGGCAGCUCCCUCGACUCGGAGCUCCAUAGAGAUGUACGAGAGCCACCAAAGCCCUGAGAGAAUUCUGCAGCACUGUACCUGCUGUCCCUGAUGGGUAAAUUCAGAACAAUAUUUCAACAAAAGAUUAAUUUUGCCUCUGCGGGGAUGGAUAAAGAAAUUGAAGAACUGACUCCAAAUGUAAAUUCCUAUGCUUCCUUCUCUUCCUGAGAACCCUCUAGAUUAGCAGGCACAUUCUGAAAAGCACAAUGACAGAUUCCUUUUGUGCAGUGAUUUCUCUUCAGAUCCCACAAAUAAGCACCAAAAAAAUUCUCAACUAAUAUGGAAUUUCAGCUCAGAUGGUCACAAAUUAACCAGAAAAGGGUGUACGUUCGUUUACACAAAUUACACACAUUUUCCAUUUUUGGUCUAUAGCAUAAAAAAUUAGAUAGUUAAUUUUAAAUGCAAAACUUUGUACAGCAUGCAAAUCAUGUCUGUAUGUCAAAGUAAAAUAACAAACCUAAUGAGGAAUGUUAAAAAAGUAAGACCCAUUAGUUUAAAGAUACAUGGAAGCAGCCAAAGAUGACAAACAUGCAUAAAAUUCAAAACAUGAUGGAAAAGGGAACAAGCACUGAACCACAUAAAUCAGUGUUUUGAAUUCUAUUUCUCUGUGGGUAUAAUUGUACCUUAGUUUCUUAUAAUGAUUUAUUGAGGUAAAUAGUCUGUAUGGUUUAACAGCUACAGCUUCAAAGUGUCAGGCACAGACUCUCCUUUAUUCAUGAGGCAGCUGAGUAUUGGGAUGUGAAUCAGCUUCUGUAUUCUGGGACUUGGCAAAGUUUGUUUUUAAGGUCCUUAUAAAGGAUUCAUGUUGAUGCAGCCAUUCAAAUGUGAAAAACACUGAUGAAAUAGGAAAGCUUUACAGUAAUUCUGGGGGAAAAAAGUAAAAACACUGAAAUAAACCAUUCAGAAUUACCUUCAGCAAAAGAAAGGAACAUCCAGAGUUAAUUUUAAUACAGUCUGUCGUUUUGGGAAACACAGAAAGAAACUAAUUUCUUGAUGAAGUACAAAAGUGUGAUGGGAUUUCAGAAUUUACUUUUAAGUUGAAAUAAAAUAAAGUACAAAAGAAGAAAUGGUAGAA